RNAcentral lists this non-coding RNA (1449 nucleotides) under Rhizoclosmatium globosum. RNAcentral describes it as "Eukaryotic large subunit ribosomal RNA". It matches the Rfam family "Eukaryotic large subunit ribosomal RNA", at positions 134 to 1534 of the family's 3401-position model. Lineage: Eukaryota; Fungi; Chytridiomycota; Chytridiomycetes; Chytridiales; Chytriomycetaceae. The record is from Rfam by way of RNAcentral.
AAUGCCAAAAAUGAGGGUGAUGAAGACAUAGCAAACAAUGAUAAUUCAGAUUUUGAGACCCACAGGACUAUCACCCUCUAUGGCGCUGCUGGAAUCUCUGAGUCCGCUUUGUUAUCAUGGUGUCUUCUGUACAGUUUGAGAUUGCUGUGCUAAUUGGUAGGUAUCUUCUAAAGCUACAUACUGGCAAGACUGAUAGUGAACAAGUACUGCGAGGAAAGAUGAAAAGAACUUUGAAAAUAGAGUUAAUAGUUUGCGAAAUUGUCUAAGGUGAAUUUUUUCAAACCAAUAUCAGAGGGCAAUGUGCAUUCAUCACAUUCUGUGCCAGUAACAUUUUGGUCUGAAGUUAAUAGAUUAGUAAAUGUAGAUAUUUACAACCUUGAUUUUUGCUUUGGAUUAGAAUGAUGAUUGCCACUGCCUUGGGGUUGGUGAAGCAGCUGCCUCAAAGCUACCACUUGUGGACAACUUCAUGAUCAUGGGUGACUAGUGAGGGAUCAGUUGUGUACCACUCUCAGUGUAGGUCACUUAGUUUUAAGCAACCUGUCUUGAAACAUAGACAAAGGGGUUCUACAAAUGUGCAAGUCUCAGGGUGUCAAACCCAAAGGCAACAGAAACUCUGGUGGUAGCUUGUAGCAAUUCUGACGUGCAAAUAUAGUAGCUGCUUCCCAGUGGAAGAUCAAUAAAUCAGUUUUCCGAGGUAAAGCAAAAAACUGAGUAGAGGCCUUGGGGAUGAAGCAUCCUUAACCUAGGAAGGCUCUGGAGUUUCUUAACUGAAGUCUGGAAAUGAAUGAGAUCUUCUCUAGUGGGCCAUUGUCGUUGUUGGUAGGCAGAAGUGGUGAUGCAAAAUGCACUGAAUGUUGACUGAGUGCCUAAAUACUGUAGACACAAAAGUUCUUAGUUCAUCUAAACAGCAGUGCAGUGGCCAUAGAAGUCAGAAUCUGCUGAGGAGUCUGUAACAACUCACCUGGAGGAUGAACUAAUAACAGCCUGUAGCUGCAAAUUUAAAAGAAUUGCCUCUUGAAGGAGAUUGCUGCAAGGCACGAGACCAUAAAUGCUCAGUUACAAUCUUUCUGUGUUUUCAAAGUUGUAUUUUAGCAUCCUUAUUGUUUUAAUGCAGUUGCCAAUAUAGUGUAACUCAGUUUAGAAAACAAGCCAUGGUAUGAUUUGAAAAGUAGACUGCAAAGAAUUUGGUUUUCUUUAAAUAAUUUGAUUUCCCAGACCCUUCUGCUGAAUAAACUAACCCUUAAAAUGGAUGGCACUAAAGCAAGCUCUUAUAGCAGAUACAAUGCUGUAAGUGUAAAGGACAUUGAGGUGGCAUCAAAGUGUUUGGGGUGACCUGGCUUAGACUGCCUUCUGGUGAUGAUCUUGGUGGUAGUAGCAAAUAUUCAAAUGGGAACUUUGAAGCCUAUGAGUUAUGGUAAAGAGCAGUUGGACUUGGCUCACAGCAACAGU